Molecule: ribosomal RNA, 1731 nt
Filed under: Vibrio aestuarianus
Lineage: Bacteria; Pseudomonadati; Pseudomonadota; Gammaproteobacteria; Vibrionales; Vibrionaceae
Description: partial 23S ribosomal RNA
Rfam family: Bacterial large subunit ribosomal RNA
Source: RNAcentral
AAGAUUGUGGGGUAGGGGAGCGUUCUGUAAGCCGUUGAAGGUGUGUUGUAAAGCAUGCUGGAGGUAUCAGAAGUGCGAAUGCUGACAUGAGUAACGAUAAUGGGGGUGAAAAACCCCCACGCCGGAAGACCAAGGGUUCCUGUCCAACGUUAAUCGGGGCAGGGUAAGUCGACCCCUAAGGCGAGGCUGAAAAGCGUAGUCGAUGGGAAACGGGUUAAUAUUCCCGUACUGCUUAUAAUUGCGAUGGGGGGACGGAGAAGGCUAGGUGGGCCUGGCGACGGUUGUCCAGGUUCAAGUGCGUAGGCUAAGAGACUAGGUAAAUCCGGUUUCUUGUUAGGCUGAGACACGACGUCGAGCUACUACGGUAGUGAAGUCAUUGAUGCCAUGCUUCCAGGAAAAGCCUCUAAGCUUCAGAUUAUAAGCAAUCGUACCCCAAACCGACACAGGUGGUCGGGUAGAGAAUACCAAGGCGCUUGAGAGAACUCGGGUGAAGGAACUAGGCAAAAUGGUACCGUAACUUCGGGAGAAGGUACGCUCUUGGCGGUGAAGUCCCUAGCGGAUGGAGCUACUGAGAGUCGCAGAUACCAGGUGGCUGCAACUGUUUAUUAAAAACACAGCACUGUGCAAAAUCGUAAGAUGACGUAUACGGUGUGACGCCUGCCCGGUGCCGGAAGGUUAAUUGAUGGGGUUAGACUUCGGUCGAAGCUCUUGAUCGAAGCCCCGGUAAACGGCGGCCGUAACUAUAACGGUCCUAAGGUAGCGAAAUUCCUUGUCGGGUAAGUUCCGACCUGCACGAAUGGCGUAAUGAUGGCCACGCUGUCUCCACCCGAGACUCAGUGAAAUUGAAAUCGCUGUGAAGAUGCAGUGUACCCGCGGCUAGACGGAAAGACCCCGUGAACCUUUACUACAGCUUGGCACUGAACAUUGAACCUACAUGUGUAGGAUAGGUGGGAGACUUAGAAGCGCAGUCGCUAGAUUGCGUGGAGUCGUCCUUGAAAUACCACCCUUGUAGUUUUGAUGUUCUAACGUUGGCCCCUAAUCGGGGUUGCGGACAGUGCCUGGUGGGUAGUUUGACUGGGGCGGUCUCCUCCCAAAGAGUAACGGAGGAGCACGAAGGUGGGCUAAACACGGUUGGACAUCGUGUGGUUAGUGCAAUGGCAUAAGCCCGCUUAACUGCGAGAAUGACAAUUCGAGCAGGUACGAAAGUAGGUCAUAGUGAUCCGGUGGUUCUGAAUGGAAGGGCCAUCGCUCAACGGAUAAAAGGUACUCCGGGGAUAACAGGCUGAUACCGCCCAAGAGUUCAUAUCGACGGCGGUGUUUGGCACCUCGAUGUCGGCUCAUCACAUCCUGGGGCUGAAGUCGGUCCCAAGGGUAUGGCUGUUCGCCAUUUAAAGUGGUACGCGAGCUGGGUUUAGAACGUCGUGAGACAGUUCGGUCCCUAUCUGCCGUGGGCGUUGGAAGAUUGAAGGGGGCUGCUCCUAGUACGAGAGGACCGGAGUGGACGAACCUCUGGUGUUCGGGUUGUUACGCCAGUAGCAUUGCCCGGUAGCUAAGUUCGGAAUCGAUAACCGCUGAAAGCAUCUAAGCGGGAAGCGAGCCCUGAGAUGAGUCUUCCCUGGCACUUUAAGUGUCCUAAAGGGUUGUUCGAGACUAGAACGUUGAUAGGUUGGGUGUGUAAGCGCUGCGAGGCGUUGAGCUAACCAAUACUAAUUGCCCGUGAGGCUUAACCAU